GACGGAGGAUGCAAGUGUUAUCCGGAAUCACUGGGCGUAAAGCGUCUGUAGGUGGUUCAAUAAGUCAACUGUUAAAUCUUGAGGCUCAACUUCAAAAUCGCAGUCGAAACUAUUAAACUAGAGUAUAGUAGGGGUAAAGGGAAUUUCCAGUGGAGCGGUGAAAUGCGUAGAGAUUGGAAAGAACACCAAUGGCGAAAGCACUUUACUGGGCUAUUACUGACACUGAGAGACGAAAGCUAGGGUAGCAAAUGGGG
This 254-nucleotide ribosomal RNA is filed under the name uncultured bacterium. RNAcentral describes it as "partial 16S ribosomal RNA". It matches the Rfam family "Bacterial small subunit ribosomal RNA", at positions 524 to 777 of the family's 1533-position model. The record is from RNAcentral.